GAUGAACGCUGGCGGCGUGCCUAAUACAUGCAAGUCGAGCGAACAGACGAGGAGCUUGCUCCUCUGACGUUAGCGGCGGACGGGUGAGUAACACGUGGAUAACCUACCUAUAAGACUGGGAUAACUUCGGGAAACCGGAGCUAAUACCGGAUAAUAUAUUGAACCGCAUGGUUCAAUAGUGAAAGACGGUUUUGCUGUCACUUAUAGAUGGAUCCGCGCCGCAUUAGCUAGUUGGUAAGGUAACGGCUUACCAAGGCAACGAUGCGUAGCCGACCUGAGAGGGUGAUCGGCCACACUGGAACUGAGACACGGUCCAGACUCCUACGGGAGGCAGCAGUAGGGAAUCUUCCGCAAAGGGCGAAAGCCUGACGGAGCAACGCCGCGUGAGUGAUGAAGGUCUUCGGAUCGUAAAACUCUGUUAUUAGGGAAGAACAAAUGUGUAAGUAACUAUGCACGUCUUGACGGUGCCUAAUCAGAAAGCCACGGCUAACUACGUG
This 497-nucleotide ribosomal RNA is filed under the name uncultured bacterium. Its description in RNAcentral is "partial 16S ribosomal RNA". It matches the Rfam family "Bacterial small subunit ribosomal RNA", at positions 28 to 507 of the family's 1533-position model. The record is from RNAcentral.